AUUGAACGAUGGCGGCAGGCUUAACACAUGCAAGUAGAACGAGUGGCGGACGGGUGAGUAAUGUCUGGGAAACUGCCUGAUGGAGGGGGAUAACUACUGGAAACGGAAGCUAAUACAGCAUACCAUCAGACCUGCCCAGCAGGGAUUAGCUCGUGAGUGGGGUAACGGCUCACCAGGGCGACGAUCCCUAGCUGGUCUGAGAGGAUGAUCAGCCACGCUCGAACUAAGACACGGUCCAGACUCCUGCGGGCGGCGGCAGUAGGGAAAAUUGCACAAUGGGCGCAAGCCUGGUGCAGCCUUGCCGCGUGUAUGAAGAAGGCCUUCGGGUUGUAAAGUACUUUCAGCGGGGAGGCGUUACCCGCAGAAGAAGCACCGACUAACUCCGUGCCAGCAACCGCGGUAGUAC
This 406-nucleotide ribosomal RNA is filed under the name uncultured bacterium. Its description in RNAcentral is "partial 16S ribosomal RNA". It matches the Rfam family "Bacterial small subunit ribosomal RNA", at positions 30 to 526 of the family's 1533-position model. The record is from RNAcentral.